UCACCGAAGGGUGAAAGAAAGAAUUACUUUUUUCUUUCUGCCCCCAAUCACUGUUGGCCCGUGAGCAGCACUGAUUCCCAAUGGAGGGCUUUGGCCAUGGCAGUGACGUCACAGUCUCCUGGAUCUUGGUGGAGCUCCAAAAUCAGCUCCCCAGAUGUCACCAAGACAACCUCUCAUUAGGUCAGAGCUGAGCUUAACACUCCCCGCAUGAAGACCAAGCACAGCCUUGCAAAGCUUUGCAGGGUCUUGGAGGAAGAAAGUGGAGGCCAGAAUUGACCGAGAUUUGCAAGUUUGGUUGAAGGUAGGUCUUUCAGAGGCUGCAUUAGCAUCGGGUACAGAUGAUGACACAACACUCCAGGACUUGUGGAAGCAGCAAGAGGUCAUCCACGGGCUCCAGGAGGCUCUCGGCAUUAAUGAACCCUCCCAGGAAUUUACAGUAGCGGCUCCCAGCCCCCACAUGAGGAAACUGAAACUCAAGUUGCCUCAGAUGGAUGCAAAGUAAUAAAUGGCAAAGCUGGAGUUUAGAGAAGGACCCAGUGACUCCACAGAGUCCGUGGUCAGAACCAGUACCACAUGCUCCUACCCUCAGAGGACUUGCACCCCAUUUCUGGAUCCACAGAAGGUCCCUCCUCCUGCACCUUCACCCCAAGUUAGGACUGCUCAGUCCCCACCCUGCUCCUCUCUGCCUUAUGUUCUUCACUGACAAGCAGAGACCAGGCCCCAACACCAAGAUGGGACCUGCUUGAUUCCAGCCAAGUUCCCGCCAGGAACGCAGACUGCAGCUCCCCAGCAUCCAGGCCCCUCGUGCCCAACCUCAAGGCAGUACGCAGCAAUGAAGAAGAGCUGACGGCUUGACUCCCUUCUCUGAUGCCGUGAUAUUAUCUCCCCUUAAAGCUGAAUGGGAUAAUCCAGUCACUACAUGUGGCCGUGGCUAGUGACCAUCAGCUUGGACAGGGCAUGCCCAGCUAGAUGUGCUCCUUGUCUCUCUGCUCCCAGUCCCCACAUCACAUGGGGUUGUUCAGCCACUCACCAUGAGGACCCGCCCCACAGGUAACUCACCACACACCCACAGCCUCUCACAGACGAGCCCGUGAUGGCAUCUAAUGCAUCUGCCUCGACAUUGAGAAGCCGUCUUCCAGGGCUAUUUUUUUUAUAUAUUGCACUGUGACAAACAGGAAAAAAAUAAAGACACCACAGAAAGAUGAAGCCAAGAAAGAACAAGUGAAGAACAGUGUAAAUGAGACACACCGUUAGUGACUUUUGUGGGUUCUGGAAAUCUGAGAUUUUUCUGGUUGCUCCAAUCUCUCCCAGUGCCUCAGCAAGAAAGGAGAUCAAGGAUGUGUCUACCUGGUUACCUGGUAGACUAUUUUAAACUCCAGCUAUUUAUACAGCAUUAAAUCGAAAUCAUUUCAAGCAUAA
Non-coding RNA from Ictidomys tridecemlineatus (thirteen-lined ground squirrel), 1419 nucleotides. The record is from RefSeq and is a predicted model, not a curated record. NCBI's taxonomy places the organism in Eukaryota, Metazoa, Chordata, Mammalia, Rodentia, Sciuridae.